CCCUGGGUUAGUCGGGACCUAAGCUGAGGCCGAAAGGCGUAGGUGAUGGACAACAGGUUGAUAUUCCUGUACUACCGAUAACCGUUUGAGAGAUGGGAUGACACAGUAGGAUAAGCUAAGCACACUGUUGGUUAUGUGUGCCCAAGCAUUGAGGCAGUCAAAGUAGGCAAAUCCGCUUUGAUAAUGCUGGGAUGUGAUGGGGAGCGAAAUUUAGUAGCGAA
This 221-nucleotide ribosomal RNA is filed under the name Clostridioides difficile. RNAcentral describes it as "partial 23S ribosomal RNA". It matches the Rfam family "Bacterial large subunit ribosomal RNA", at positions 1373 to 1589 of the family's 2925-position model. The record is from RNAcentral. Lineage: Bacteria; Bacillati; Bacillota; Clostridia; Peptostreptococcales; Peptostreptococcaceae.